Molecule: small nucleolar RNA, 181 nt
Organism: Naja naja (Indian cobra)
Lineage: Eukaryota; Metazoa; Chordata; Lepidosauria; Squamata; Elapidae
Source: Ensembl
GCAGUCAAAUGUGCAUAGUAUAUUAUCUAUGUCUAGUGAUAAAGUUUAUUUGCGUUCUGCACAUAGACUAUAUUGCUCACAUACAGUCUGCAGCCAAAGAAUAACAUGAGAUCAUAGUACUGGUCUAAUGAUGUUGAAAGACAACUUUACCAUUGACCAGCCUCCAAAUUCUCAAACAUAA